This 295-nucleotide unclassified non-coding RNA is filed under the name uncultured Ascomycota. RNAcentral describes it as "sequence contains ITS1". The stretch from base 1 to 105 matches the Rfam family "5.8S ribosomal RNA", at positions 50 to 154 of the family's 154-position model. The record is from RNAcentral. Lineage: Eukaryota; Fungi; Ascomycota.
GAAAUGCGAUAAGUAGUGUGAAUUGCAGAAUUCAGUGAAUCAUCGAAUCUUUGAACGCACAUUGCGCCCCUUGGUAUUCCAUGGGGCAUGCCUGUUCGAGCGUCAUUUGUACCCUCAAGCUUUGCUUGGUGUUGGGCGUUUGUCUUGCGAGACUCGCCUUAAAACGAUUGGCAGCCGGCCUACGUGGUUUCGGAGCGCAGCACAAAUUGCACUCUGUCCGUGAAGGUCGGCAUCCAUGAAGCCCCCAUUUUUCACUUUUGACCUCGGAUCAGGUAGGGAUACCCGCUGAACUUAA